GGUCCUAAAUUCUAUGAUCAAUAGAAAUCCACCACCUGUUAUUGUAGGGAUUUCUAAGGUCUCAAAAGUUUUGUAUUCAAAAAUUAUUUUUUUUGCAGGAAAAAAGAAGAAAUAUAUUUUUUUUAGGGCAAGAAAAAAGAAAUACUAUUUUAUUUUUUUUCUAGAUUAACCAAGCCAUGGAGGACCAUACUGUUGGGUGGAUGUCU
This 206-nucleotide long non-coding RNA is filed under the name Elaeis guineensis (African oil palm). Its description in RNAcentral is "long non-coding RNA (EGUI_LNC003756)". The record is from RNAcentral. Lineage: Eukaryota; Viridiplantae; Streptophyta; Magnoliopsida; Arecales; Arecaceae.